RNAcentral lists this long non-coding RNA (3476 nucleotides) under Homo sapiens (human). RNAcentral's name for it is "HSALNT0370578". The record is from RNAcentral. Lineage: Eukaryota; Metazoa; Chordata; Mammalia; Primates; Hominidae.
ACUUCCAAGAUGGCGUCUUCACUCACAUAUCUGGAACCUCGGUGCUCCUUGUCCUUCACGCUCCAUUUGGUGCCUUAUUUUCCAGGCCCUCUUCCCUCAGGUAGCCUGGGCUUUCUCACAGCAUGGUGGCAUCAGGGUUGUAGGAUUUCUUACAAGGCACUGACUUGUAGAAAGUUUUCAGGAGCUCCGAAUGAGGAGAUUCAAGGGCUCUGACGACCAACCGUCGGCUGUCCCAGUACGUCACUUCUUCCACAUUCUAAUGGUCAGAGUAGUCACUAAGGCCAGUCCAGGUUCGCGGAAGGAAAAUUAGAUUCCACGUCUCUAUGGGAGGACUAGCCACACUAAGCCACUGCGCUGGUUUAGAACUGUCUGAAGUCCCUCCUAGAGGUCGUGUGUUUGAUUCUGCAUCUCCGUGAUUUGUGAAUCUUGCAUCAUUUAAAUUCAGCCUUACACACUGAUGCCUUUGGUGCCGUCCCAAUAUUUAGGUAGCAAACUCGUAGUGGGUAGAGAUUCAGGCUUAAGCUUCCAGCCUGGCUCUGAGGAGAACUGUCUGGGGCUCCCUGCCCUCUUCCCCAUGGAUGAGACUCUUCCCAGCCUUGGGCAAACACAGCGGGGAGCUGGCACCAUCUCCCGCUAGACACCUCCUCCUUUUCCUCUUGCCCUUACCAUGACUCCCGAGUUAUUCUCAGAAGUAAAAGCUUUCCACGCCUGCUCUUCUCUCCUGCAGCCAGGAGUGCAAAUUUAGAUAUUGGAGCUGCUCAGGCAGAAAAAUGGCCCUGGAAUCAGGGAAGCAGAAACCUGCAGCUGCCACGAAAGGACCGCGGAGAUGAAGACCCGGAAGCUUGCAUGUGUUGAAGCCCGGGGUGUGGGGGACUGUGGUCACGUACUCGAGGGGGCUUCAGAGACCUCUGGGAAGCCCUUUCUGCCCACUCGAAGCCUGCCCCUGUGCCUGACAAUCUUCCAUCGGGAGCGAUGUCAUAAAGAAGAAAUGGAAUUCAGUGGGAAGAGUGGUGGACUCGGGGACAAAAGAUCUGGGUUUGCGCCCUGGCUCUGACCUAACUCACCAGCAUUAUUGGAGGCACGUUAGUUGCCUUGAAAACUGCUUGAUAUGAAUGACUGCAAGAUCUGCUGUUAGUCCCCAGAGCUGCCUUUUACUUCUUUGGAGAAGCUGGGACUGAGGUUGCGUAUUUGGGCAGGGCUCAGCUGUGUGGUUCUUCUACCCUAUGUCACCUGGAGUUAAUGCAUGCUUACAUUUAGCUGGUGAUUCAGAUGGAACACUACGAUGGCCUCUCACCCCCCAGGGUCUCUCUGUAUGUGGCCUCUCAUCAUUGAGCGGUUCAGCUUGGACUUCCUUACAGCAUGGCAUCUGGGCUGCAAGAAGGGAAAGAUGCAGCUGCAAACCUUAAGGGCUGAAGUCUCAAGACAUCACCUCCACUACAAUCUAUUGGCUAAAGCAAAUCCCAGGGCCAGUCCAGACUCAGGAGUAGGAGAAAAUAUUAAUAACGCCUCUUGCUAUGAAGAGUGGCAAGUGUAUACAGGGAGGAGAGGAAGUGCCGGUGGCCAUUUUUGGAAACCAUUAACAUAUAAUUGCAGAUAGUGAUACACUCAGCAAUGAAUAUUAAGCCUAGUAAAGGGAAAGUCUAGAAGGGCUUUCAGGAGGAUUUAUCUUCUGGGCCGGAUCCUGCCUAGGAAAGGCUCAUGCAUCCUUCCUACAAAAGAGGCACUGACACUUCUGAUUAAGGUAGGAUAAGCUGUCACUUGUUGGUAAAGUUUCUACCAGUCUCUAACCCAUUGAAGGAGAAUAUUUUGCUUUCUUCUCUCAGAUCUUGUGGAUGUGCUGUGGAAAUGGAGAACCUUAACCAUUGCAUAGAAUGGACUUGGGGCAAGUUCCUGAGCUAUAAGUUACAUAGCUCAGAAGUAGCAGAGCCAGGAUCCAACACCUGUUUUGCCAUACAUCAAAUGGGGACAAUAGAAGUAACUGAUAUUAACCUAGGGCUGAAAUAAGGCAUGUCUGCUGCUUGGUGGUUGCAGUCACAGUCACAGGAAGUUUUAAAGGCACUGUAGCCAAGAGUUUGGCUUCCUCCUCACAGGUCUCUUGGGGUGGCCCUGUCCUCCCUCUUGUUUCCUUGGCACAGCAGGGUCUAGACCCUCUACUCAGCCAUACACAGGAGCCAGGCUGCUGGAAAACAUACCCCCAGCCCCAACUGCUUUGUCCAGUCUUGGGGGAGGUGGGAAAUGUACACACCUAGAAGUGAUGAUGGUAUUUCUCCUGCAGGUUCCCAUGAAAAGCAGCAUCCCAGUGAAGUCAAAGCCCUGGAACCAUCCUCUUCAUCUGUGUUGCUGCUGAGAGAUCAGAAGUCUACCUCUGGAGAUAGAAUCCUUGUCUGCUGCUGGGAUGGAGGGAAGUGCUAACAUUCCACUAGAAAGUGGGUUCUUCCAUGGAGGGACAGAAUUUGAUUCUUGCUGCUUAUACAAAGUAGGUGUUCACAAGGCACUUGUGAACAGCUAGCUCUGCAGAACAAGUCUCCAUCAUCUCGUUGCAGGCUGCUUACCUGCUGGGAGUGGCAUCCUGGGGCCUUCCUCUCUGGCCACCCUAGACUUUGGUUUUAAUUGCUCCUGAGUCUCCCUUCUUCCUGCCGGCUGGCCCUGCGGUCUGUCACCUACGGGACGGCCAACGUCAGAGCUGGGUGACCUUUCAAAGACACCAGGAUUUGUUUAAUUUUCAGAAUUCACCUCUCUUCAUCCUUUUUAUCAGAGGCAGUUAGGGCCCAGCUGGGGAGGCUAUUUGGCAUUUUUCCCUGUAUUUUGAAACAGGUGGGCUGGGGCCUUCUCAAGUGGAGUCUUUUCAACUGAGAGAACUAGAAAGACAGACAAUGAUAGAAUGGGGUGGGGGUGGAGUAGAAUUACCAAGAGAACCAAACAUACAUUAAGUUAUUUUAACACCUGACUCAUUUUCAUGAAAGUCUUCAUUACUGCAUCUUCUGUCUCCAAGGUUUUCUACACACAUAAUUGCAGCUUGUGUUUACAAAGUCAUUACCACAUGCCAAGCACGUCACAUGUCUCGCUUCAUGUAACCUUCACAGCAGCACCUUGAGGUUCUGUUAUCUCCGUUUUACAGGUAGGUAAGGUUAGUUAUUGCCCAAAGCCAUACAGUGUGUUGAGGGGCCAGAGUUUAAACACAGCUCUGUAGACUCAGUCUGUCCACGAAGCAAGAGUAUGUGCAAACCUCACCUGAUCCUCACAAUAACCUUGGAAAAGAAAUGUAUCCUCCCAUCUGAUAGAGUCCGAGUAGUCUCAGCUGCUAUAAUUGUUAUUCCUUCUGUGCUCAACAUUUGUUGGCUGGGUGACUUGAAAGCUGAAGUGAGAAAAACAGUACCUGGAACAUGGAGUAAAAACCCUUUAACAUAUGGGAAUCUACUAAACCCCAUCAGGUCAGUGAAAUAGGUACUAUUAUCACCAUUUUACAGGAGAAAAAA